This 597-nucleotide ribosomal RNA is filed under the name Bdellovibrionales bacterium. RNAcentral describes it as "partial 23S ribosomal RNA". It matches the Rfam family "Bacterial large subunit ribosomal RNA", at positions 1127 to 1704 of the family's 2925-position model. The record is from RNAcentral. Lineage: Bacteria; Pseudomonadati; Bdellovibrionota; Bdellovibrionia; Bdellovibrionales.
AGAGUGCGUAAUAGCUCACUAGUCAAGUGAAUCUGCGCCGAUAAUGGUCGGGACUCAAGCACACCGCCGAAGCUAUGGAUGGGACACCUCUUCGGAGGUGAAACAUGGUAGGGGAGCGUUCCCUGAGCGGAGAAGCCGGCCCGUGAGGGUACCGGUGGAGCGCAGGGAAGAGAGUAUGCCGGAAUGAGUACGCGAUAAUGGGGGGGAGGAUCCCCCACACCGAAAGCCUAAGGGUUCCGGAGCCAGGUUCAUCCGCUCCGGGUCAGUCGGUCCCUAAGCCGAGGCCGAAGGGCGUAGGCGAUGGGAAACAGGUCAACAUUCCUGUACCACAGUGUAUGCGUUCGACCCUGAGGGGGGACGCGGGAGCGUAGGAACCGUCGGGUGGUGGACUAUCCGAUGCAAGGUGGUAGGCGUAUCCAGCAGGCAAAUCCGCUGGACUUAGCCGAGCGCCGAUGCCGAAGGGGCCUUCGGGCCCCGCCAAGGGUUCUCAAGCCGACCGCCGAGAAAAGCCUCGCAGGGGAGUGUGCACUGUGACCGUACCGUAAACGGACACACGUAGGCGAGGCGAGAAGCCUAAGGUGCUCGAGUGAUCCACGG